UGGGGCAUAGCCAAGUGGUAAGGCAUCAGACUUUGACUCUGACAUUUCCCUGGUUCAAAUCCAGGUGCCCCAGCCA
Molecule: transfer RNA, 76 nt
Filed under: Bacillota bacterium
Lineage: Bacteria; Bacillati; Bacillota
Also listed under: 1 other name
Description: tRNA-Gln
Rfam family: tRNA
About the family: Transfer RNA (tRNA) molecules are approximately 80 nucleotides in length.
Source: RNAcentral